RNAcentral lists this ribosomal RNA (712 nucleotides) under Bacillus velezensis. Its description in RNAcentral is "bacterial SSU rRNA". It matches the Rfam family "Bacterial small subunit ribosomal RNA", at positions 397 to 1099 of the family's 1533-position model. Lineage: Bacteria; Bacillati; Bacillota; Bacilli; Caryophanales; Bacillaceae. The record is from RNAcentral.
CCGCGUGAGUGAUGAAGGUUUUCGGAUCGUAAAGCUCUGUUGUUAGGGAAGAACAAGUGCCGUUCAAAUAGGGCGGCACCUUGACGGUACCUAACCAGAAAGCCACGGCUAACUACGUGCCAGCAGCCGCGGUAAUACGUAGGUGGCAAGCGUUGUCCGGAAUUAUUGGGCGUAAAGGGCUCGCAGGCGGUUUCUUAAGUCUGAUGUGAAAGCCCCCGGCUCAACCGGGGAGGGUCAUUGGAAACUGGGGAACUUGAGUGCAGAAGAGGAGAGUGGAAUUCCACGUGUAGCGGUGAAAUGCGUAGAGAUGUGGAGGAACACCAGUGGCGAAGGCGACUCUCUGGUCUGUAACUGACGCUGAGGAGCGAAAGCGUGGGGAGCGAACAGGAUUAGAUACCCUGGUAGUCCACGCCGUAAACGAUGAGUGCUAAGUGUUAGGGGGUUUCCGCCCCUUAGUGCUGCAGCUAACGCAUUAAGCACUCCGCCUGGGGAGUACGGGCGCAAGACUGAAACUCAAAGGAAUUGACGGGGGCCCGCACAAGCGGUGGAGCAUGUGGUUUAAUUCGAAGCAACGCGAAGAACCUUACCAGGUCUUGACAUCCUCUGACAAUCCUAGAGAUAGGACGUCCCCUUCCGGGGCAGAGUGACAGGUGGUGCAUGGUUGUCGUCAGCUCGUGUCUUGAGAUGUUGGGUUAAGUCCCGCAACGAGCGC